GAUGAACGCUGGCGGCGUGCCUAACACAUGCCAGUCGAGCGAGAAGUUUUGAAAAGAUUCUUCGGAUGAAAUUUAAAAUGGAAAGCGGCGGACGGGUGAGUAACGCGUAGGCAACCUGCCCCAUACAAAGGGAUAGCAUUUGGAAACGAAUAUUAAUACCUUAUGAAACUUAACUAGUGCAUGCUAGGUAGGUCAAAGAUUUAUCGGUAUGGGAUGGGCCUGCGUCUGAUUAGCUAGUUGGUGAGGUAACGGCUCACCAAGGCGACGAUCAGUAGCCGACCUAAUGAGGUGAACGGCCACAUUGGAACGGAGGCACGGUCCAAACUCCUUCGGGAAGCAGCAGAGGGGAAUAUUGCACAAUGGGGGAAACCCUGAUGCAGCAACGCCGCGUGAACGAUGAAUGUCUUUGGGGCGUAAAGUUCUGUUCUAGGUGAUGAAAACUGACAGUAACCUAAGAGAAAGCCCCGGCUAACUCCGUG
This 479-nucleotide ribosomal RNA is filed under the name uncultured bacterium. Its description in RNAcentral is "partial 16S ribosomal RNA". It matches the Rfam family "Bacterial small subunit ribosomal RNA", at positions 28 to 507 of the family's 1533-position model. The record is from RNAcentral.